Molecule: ribosomal RNA, 232 nt
Filed under: Prevotella sp.
Lineage: Bacteria; Pseudomonadati; Bacteroidota; Bacteroidia; Bacteroidales; Prevotellaceae
Description: partial 16S ribosomal RNA
Rfam family: Bacterial small subunit ribosomal RNA
Source: RNAcentral
UUUUACAAUGGAGAGUUUGAUCCUGGCUCAGGAUGAACGCUAGCUACAGGCUUAACACAUGCAAGUCGAGGGGAAACGGCAUUGAGUGCUUGCACUCUUUGGACGUCGACCGGCGCACGGGUGAGUAACGCGUAUCCAACCUUCCCAUUACUGUGGGAUAACCUGCCGAAAGGCAGACUAAUACCGCAUAGUCUUCGAUGACGGCAUCAGAUUUGAAGUAAAGAUUUAUCGG